GCCUCUGGCCGAAUAUUUAACCCUUGUUUUUGUGCGUACUUGUUGUUGCCUUGGUAGGCUUGCCUGCCAGGAGCACACCCCAUAACACCCAUUGUAAUUGCAGUCAGCGUCAGUAAAACACAAUAAUUAAAACUUUCAACAACGGAUCUCUUGGUUCUGGCAUCGAUGAAGAACGCAGCGAAAUGCGAUAAGUAGUGUGAAUUGCAGAAUUCAGUGAAUCAUCGAAUCUUUGAACGCACAUUGCGCCCCUUGGUAUUCCAUGGGGCAUGCCUGUUCGAGCGUCAUUUGUACCCUCAAGCUCUGCUUGGUGUUGGGUGUUUGUCCCCGUUUUUGCGCGUGGGACUCGCCUUAAAGCGAUUGGCAGCCGGCACAUUGGCCUGGGAGCGCAGCACAUUUUGCGCUUCUGGCCGUGAACGUCGGCGUCCAUUAAGCCUGUUUACAUUUGCUCUUGACCUCGGAUCAGGUAGGGAUACCCGCU
This 478-nucleotide ribosomal RNA is filed under the name fungal sp. Its description in RNAcentral is "eukaryotic LSU rRNA". The stretch from base 131 to 284 matches the Rfam family "5.8S ribosomal RNA". Lineage: Eukaryota; Fungi. The record is from RNAcentral.